Long non-coding RNA from Triticum dicoccoides, 483 nucleotides. RefSeq lists it as uncharacterized. The record is from RefSeq and is a predicted model, not a curated record. NCBI's taxonomy places the organism in Eukaryota, Viridiplantae, Streptophyta, Magnoliopsida, Poales, Poaceae. The transcript has 4 exons.
UGUUCUUCUUAGCUACUUGCAUGAGCUCUCACCUUUUUGAUUCGUAGAAUGAUGAACUGACCACGAUGAUCUCACGCUGCUUUGAUUUGUAGAUUGCCGACUUCCCCACAUAUUAUGGUUCGUAGGUUGCUGAAUCACCCUUUUUGUUGCUUGCGCCUUAAUUCGGAACCGCGUGUUGCACUCUAUGUUGUCAUGUUGAAUGGAAGCAACAACGGCACCGAGGAAACAUGAGUUUAUCGUUCAAAAGAGGUCUCUGAAAUUUUAGAGGGUUGUGGUAUAUGAAUCAUUGCUGGAUGAGGAAAGGAGUGGGGGAGGAUCUGCAGUUUCAUGCAGCAUUGUACGAUGGAUUUAUAUGGCUGCCUGACUAGGAUGCUGGUGCCUGCAUACGAGCUGAUGUUCGGGAAGCCAUCCCUCCACAGACUCUUUGAGGGCUACUUCAAUCAAGCCGGGAGGGUGAACGCAAGGGGUCAUUUUGAAGAUGCU